GUCUAUGGCCAUGCCACACUGAACAAGCCUGAUGUCUAAACUCAGAAGCUAAGCAGGGUCGGGCCUGGUUAGUACUUGGAUGGGAGACCACCUAGGAAGACCAGGUGCUGUAGGAA
Molecule: ribosomal RNA, 116 nt
Filed under: Pteropus alecto (black flying fox)
Lineage: Eukaryota; Metazoa; Chordata; Mammalia; Chiroptera; Pteropodidae
Source: RNAcentral